CCAUUUUAGUAUUUUAAUAUCAAAUGUUCAGCAAAGUUGUUGGAUGAUUAAUUUUUGUUGUUGUUUUCCAGGAUGAAGUCCAAGGUCCUGAUGGUCAGCCAGGAUACCAGCACGUCCUGAAGCUGGCCCAGGCCUUGGUGGAGGUCAGGAGCCUGAGCGGCUCUCUGAGUCCAGGGUGGACCGUCUCGUCUGUCUCUGGCAGCGCCUGUCAGAGCGAGACAAACAGAGACUGGUCUACCCUUCCAGGUAUCAGGAGAGGCAGAUCAAGGGGUGCUUCAAGGCAGCAAAGGGCAUAAACAUCGCCUUUGCUGGGAGGCAAAGCCUCCAGCGCUGCAUCCUUGGAGUGAACUUGGGCCCUGCAAACUGGCCGGACGCCAGCCGCCUGGUGGAGGCCGUCUGCAGCCAGCUCUGUCGCCUGCAUCCCACAGUGACACGUGUCAGAGGGAUCAUGAGGAGCCGGUGGUCCCUCAUCCACAGCGACUACGUGUCAGAGGGAUCAUGAGGAGCCGGUGGUCCCUCAUCCACAGCGACUACGUGUCGGAGGGAUCAUGAGGAGCCGGUGGUCCCUCAUCCACAGCGACUACGUGUCAGAGGGAUCAUGAGGAGCCGGUGGUCCCUCAUCCACAGCGACUACGUGUCGGAGGGAUCAUGAGGAGCCGGUGGUCCCUCAUCCACAGCGACUACGUGUCGGAGGGAUCAUGAGGAGCCGGUGGUCCCUCAUCCACAGCGACUACGUGUCAGAGGGAUCAUGAGGAGCCGGUGGUCCCUCAUCCACAGCGACUACGUGUCGAUACGGGAGACAGUGCUGGCGAGCCCGAGGCUGAUGGCUCAGACAACCAUCCAGCUGUUUGAGUUGAACCAGCGGACCAUCUCCCAGUGAAGCGGUGGGAGAGGUCUGUGCUGGAGAAUGGAGUCGCCAUCGUUCCUGCUCCAGCUGUGGCAGACCGACCCCUGCUUCCUGCCAAGGAGCUGUCCGUGGUGCUGGUGGGGCAAGGAGAGUCCUUUCAGUACCGCAUCCCUGAGGAGCAGCCUGGGCUGUCCACCAGGAGUCUCCCUCCUUCAGCUCCUCCUCCUCUACCUCCAAAUCAGGCUGUGCUGCCCACGCUUGCUGCCACCUCCUCUGCUUAGUUGCCUCCUCCUCCUCCAGUUGUGCCCAGGACAACGGCGUACAGGAGGAGGAAGGCAGUGGAGGCUGCUGCAGCUGGGGUGGUGGCACCACCUAGAAAACAGCAUAAGAUAAACAUGUGCAGCAAGAGUGGGCAGCCAAAAAGACUGGACACUGGAUACACCAGGAUCAGCGGUGUGUCCUACUGCGCCACAGUUGGGGGUAAAAGUGUGGAGGAAUGGAGGAAGGACUUUAAAAAAGAAUAAUGUUAU
This is a long non-coding RNA of Fundulus heteroclitus (mummichog), 1377 nucleotides long. RefSeq lists it as uncharacterized. The record is from RefSeq and is a predicted model, not a curated record. The transcript is spliced from 3 exons. Lineage: Eukaryota; Metazoa; Chordata; Actinopteri; Cyprinodontiformes; Fundulidae.